GGGCGUAUAGCGCAGUGGUAGCGCGUUCGCUUUGCAGUCAUUAUUCGACCAUGCGAAAGGCCCAGGGUUCGAUCCCCUGUUCGUCCA
Molecule: non-coding RNA, 87 nt
Organism: Cladorrhinum sp. PSN259
Lineage: Eukaryota; Fungi; Ascomycota; Sordariomycetes; Sordariales; Podosporaceae
Source: the annotation of a GenBank genome assembly